AUAGCGUAUAUUAAAGUUGUUGCAGUUAAAAAGCUCGUAGUUGAACCUUGGGCCUGGCUGGCCGGUCCGCCUCACCGCGUGCACUGGUCCGGCCGGGCCUUUCCUUCUGGGGAGCCGCGUGCCCUUCACUGGGUGUGUCGGGGAACCAGGACUUUUACUUUGAAAAAAUUAGAGUGUUCAAAGCAGGCCUUUGCUCGGAUACAUUAGCAUGGAAUAAUAGAAUAGGACGUGCGGUUCUAUUUUGUUGGUUUCUAGAGCCGCCGUAAUGAUUAAUAGGGAUAGUCGGGGGCAUCAGUAUUCAAUUGUCAGAGGUGAAAUUCUUGGAUUUAUUGAAGACUAACUACUG
Molecule: ribosomal RNA, 346 nt
Filed under: uncultured eukaryote
Lineage: Eukaryota
Description: SSU rRNA
Rfam family: Eukaryotic small subunit ribosomal RNA
Source: RNAcentral